GCGAACGGACGAGAAGCUUGCUUCUCUGAUGUUAGCGGCGGACGGGUGAGUAACACGUGGAUAACCUACCUAUAAGACUGGGAUAACUUCGGGAAACCGGAGCUAAUACCGGAUAAUAUUUUGAACCGCAUGGUUCAAAAGUAAAAGACGGUCUUGCUGUCACUUAUAGAUGGAUCCGCGCUGCAUUAGCUAGUUGGUAAGGUAACGGCUUACCAAGGCAACGAUGCAUAGCCGACCUGAGAGGGUGAUCGGCCACACUGGAACUGAGACACGGUCCAGACUCUUACGGGAGGCAGCAGUAGGGAAUCUUCCGCAAUGGGCGAAAGCCUGACGGAGCAACGCCGCGUGAGUGAUGAAGGUCUUCGGAUCGUAAAACUCUGUUAUUAGGGAAGAACAUAUGUGUAAGUAACUGUGCACAUCUUGACGGUACCUAAUCAGAAAGCCACGGCUAACUACGUGCCAGCAGCCGCGGUAAUACGUAGGUGGCAAGCGUUAUCCGGAAUUAUUGGGCGUAAAGCGCGCGUAGGCGGUUUUUUAAGUCUGAUGUGAAAGCCCACGGCUCAACCGUGGAGGGUCAUUGGAAACUGGAAAACUUGAGUGCAGAAGAGGGAAGUGGAAUUCCAUGUGUAGCGGUGAAAUGCGCAGAGAUAUGGAGGAACACCAGUGGCGAAGGCGACUUUCUGGUCUGUAACUGACGCUGAUGUGCGAAAGCGUGGGGAUCAAACAGGAUUAGAU
RNAcentral lists this ribosomal RNA (735 nucleotides) under uncultured Staphylococcus sp. Its description in RNAcentral is "bacterial SSU rRNA". It matches the Rfam family "Bacterial small subunit ribosomal RNA", at positions 66 to 783 of the family's 1533-position model. Lineage: Bacteria; Bacillati; Bacillota; Bacilli; Caryophanales; Staphylococcaceae. The record is from RNAcentral.